RNAcentral lists this ribosomal RNA (1213 nucleotides) under metagenome. RNAcentral's name for it is "bacterial SSU rRNA". It matches the Rfam family "Bacterial small subunit ribosomal RNA", at positions 259 to 1497 of the family's 1533-position model. The record is from RNAcentral.
AACGGCCCACCAAGGCAACGAUCGGUAGCCGGACUGAGAGGUUGAACGGCCACAUUGGGACUGAGACACGGCCCAGACUCCUACGGGAGGCAGCAGUGGGGAAUAUUGCACAAUGGGGGAAACCCUGAUGCAGCGACGCCGCGUGGAGGAAGAAGGUCUUCGGAUUGUAAACUCCUGUUGUUGGGGAAGAUAAUGACGGUACCCAACAAGGAAGUGACGGCUAACUACGUGCCAGCAGCCGCGGUAAAACGUAGGUCACAAGCGUUGUCCGGAAUUACUGGGUGUAAAGGGAGCGCAGGCAGGAAGACAAGUUGGAAGUGAAAUCUAUGGGCUCAACCCAUAAACUGCUUUCAAAACUGUUUUUCUUGAGUAGUGCAGAGGUAGGCGGAAUUCCCGGUGUAGCGGUGGAAUGCGUAGAUAUCGGGAGGAACACCAGUGGCGAAGGCGGCCUACUGGGCACCAACUGACGCUGAGGCUCGAAAGUGUGGGUAGCAAACAGGAUUAGAUACCCUGGUAGUCCACACCGUAAACGAUGAUUACCAGGUGUUGGAGGAUUGACCCCUUCAGUGCCGCAGUUAACACAAUAAGUAAUCCACCUGGGGAGUACGACCGCAAGGUUGAAACUCAAAGGAAUUGACGGGGGCCCGCACAAGCAGUGGAGUAUGUGGUUUAACUCGACGCAACGCGAAGAACCUUACCAAGUCUUGACAUCCCUUGACAGACAUAGAAAUAUGUAAUCUCUUCGGAGCAAGGAGACAGGUGGUGCAUGGUUGUCGUCAGCUCGUGUCGUGAGAUGUUGGGUUAAGUCCCGCAACGAGCGCAACCCUUAUGGUCAGUUACUACGCAAGAGGACUCUGGCCAGACUGCCGUUGACAAAACGGAGGAAGGUGGGGAUGACGUCAAAUCAUCAUACCCUUUAUGACUUGGGCUACACACGUACUACAAUGGCGUUAAACAAAGAGAAGCAAGACCGCGAGGUGGAGCAAAACUCAGAAACAACGUCCCAGUUCGGACUGCAGGCUGCAACUCGCCUGCACGAAGUCGGAAUUGCUAGUAAUCGUGGAUCAGCAUGCCACGGUGAAUACGUUCCCGGGCCUUGUACACACCGCCCGUCACACCAUGAGAGCCGGGGGGACCCGAAGUCGGUAGUCUAACCGCAAGGAGGACGCCGCCGAAGGUAAAACUGGUGAUUGGGGUGAAGUCGUAACAAGGU